Molecule: long non-coding RNA, 4993 nt
Organism: Dermacentor albipictus
Lineage: Eukaryota; Metazoa; Arthropoda; Arachnida; Ixodida; Ixodidae
Source: RefSeq, a predicted model, not a curated record
CUUGCAGGGAGUCAGGGUGCCCACAGAAAUUACUCGUACGCACGUGCAAAGGCACCAGUGAAGACGCCACGCUGGCACAGCUGUUCAACCGAAUGAUCAUUCGGUUGACGACGAUGGGGAGCGGGAUGAAGACACCUGUGGUGGCGUGACGAGCGUCGACCGACCAGCCUCUACUGAGCCUCUCUGCCUUCCAUCCACCAGUGCAGCGCCUGUUCCCGCAGCGCCCGUUCCCACGAAGAAUGCAUAUGCAGCGGCUGUCCCCGCAGCAGGAGGGGGUAGAUGCACCAACCCACCUGGAGGUGAACCGACGCACUCUCAAACCCCAUAAAGCUGCUCUGGGCGCGAAUGGAACUGCCACAUCUAAUAGCCACACACAAAAAAAGCCACGAGGAGAACUGAUUUCCAUGGUCGCCUGACAAAACCUUGCAAUGAUGGCACAUCCUCAAGUGCAUGCGCAUGGCGUCGGUGUCAACUUAUCACCGCAGUCGAUUGUGCGGAGAAAGUGCCUAGUAUUGUUGCUCGGCCACGUGGGAGACCACCCCGUCAUUUGCCCGAGAAGCACGUAGAGUGCGCGCCGAGCACCGAGGUCUUCGAAAAGGCGUGAGCGUAGAAAACGUCGCAAAUGGGGGUGGCCAAACUGUCAACUUGAGCCACAAACGAUCUGGCACGCGAGCGAGCGGCUCUGUGCUCUUCGCUUUCACGUGCCCACGCACGUGGCGGCGCGUUUUCGCAACCACUGUGAACGUCCGGAGGGGCAUGACUCGAUUACCUGACAAAAGGCGACCUGUCAACUGAUGCGGAAGGUGACAGUGUACCGGAAGAGGUCGCCAUCGAGAUGCCAUCGUUGCUAGGCCACGUGAGGUGACGGUGAUGUGUGUGCUUUCGGACGUGUUUGAUGCCCGAAGUAUUACGUGCAGUGUGGCUUCCCGCAUACAGCCUCCUCUAUUCUCCGCAGGAUUCGUAGACCUGGAGGCGGGGGGGGGGGGCUAUUCUGUGAAAGACCCCCCCCCCCCCUAUUGGACAUGGCUGGCUACAUUCACCAUCGCAGUCUAGCAAAGGGCAUGUUUCGAGGAACUGGCUAAGACACAACAAAGAGCGGGGCUGUAAGCCAUUGCUCCUGUGCAGCGUUAAUAGCUUUAAAAAUGGUAUAUUUUAAUUCGUUCCUCGUUUCGGUAUAAAAGAAAUAAUUAUUCUAUUAUUCGCAGGUACAACGCCAACAAAAAGCAGUCAACUUCAGCGUUGGAACGCGUGCCUAUUUGAUGAACUCCCUACCUUCCUGCGCUGUCAGUGUUGAGCAGAUAACCAUACGCAGAAAUUAGUCUGCAGUUCCCUCUUCAUUCGACUUUAGAAAGCGUUAUCUUCGUGGUUAGCUUUGGUGACCUGCGAAAUUAACGAAUUCUUUAUAUUUCAUUUCCACAGAAAUAUUUGUAGACAUUCUUCCAAUUUUAAUUGGAUUGAUUUGAAUUGAAUGUGCCAAACAACGAUUUGAUUAUCAGGCAAGCCAGGUCUUUAUUUAUUUAUUUACUUCACGUACCCUCAAGCGCCUAGGCAUUACAGAGGGGAGUGGGGUACAUGUGUAAAACAGCAUUGAUUGCAACAAAUUUAUAUAAUACAUGCGAGGUUUGCUGUGGACGUAAUCAUUAAAUAAUCAAACAACAAGAAUACUAUGAUAUUCAAAUUACAUAACUCUAGCGACACCUGAAAAAUACGGUGCAACAGCGCAUGUGGUCACGUGGUCUCAGUUGAAAAAAAAGCAAAGGUUUGGCGGAGAAGUGCACUGUCUUCGAUGGAUUCGACAUCAUCAGGAAGGUGGUUCCAGUCGGUCGGUGUAUUGGAAUAAAUGAGUAUAAAAACCUGUCUGUGUGAAAAAAAGUGGCUCUAGCUUUAUGACGGUGAUCAACUCGAGAUGACAGAUAAGUAGGUGCUAGAAUGAGCUCCCUGCUAAGAAUAAGAAGAUGAAAUACUUUAUGAAAAAGGUAUAAGCGAAAAGUCUUCCUGCGCAGUGAUAAACAUGGUAGACACAAGUUGCUCUUUAUAAAAGUUAUGCUAGGAGUACGAUCGAAGUUUGAGUGAAUAAAAUGAGCAGAAUUGUUCUGAACAAUUUUCAGAGGAUAAACCACAGUAGCAUUGUAAGGGUCCCAAAUCGCAGCAGCGUAUUCCAACUUAGAUCGAACUAUAUAGUGUUUCAUACAAUGCAAGUUUCAGGGAUGAAGGGGAUCUGCUAAAGUUUCGCCACGAUUAGCCUAACAUGCGAUUGCCGUUAUUGAUUGUGGAGUCAAUGUGACAUUUCCAAGAUGAGUCAUGUGAUAUAGUCACACAUAAAUAACGAUAGGAUGAAACAUGUUUACGCUAGACGUGGUUAAGCAUGUAUGCAGGUAAAGACACGUCGUGUCUAGUAACAGCAAUCAGCUUGAAUUUCUUGCUGGUUAGCUCCACGAGUUAGUUUACACCAAGCGGCGAUGGUAUUUAUAUCAGUCUGUCGAAUUUCCUGGUCCUUAUCAUCACGAAUCACACAAUAUAGUGCACAGUAAUCGGCGUGUUGGUGAACCGAAGAUGACGCGCAGUCGGGCAAAACCGAAGACCUUCUUCUGUCUUAAAUAAAAUACGAACGAAAGUCUUGUUCAAGUGCACAGAGCUGGGCGUGGGCUUGAGGUGACCUUUGUAGAUGUACGGCAAGCAGAAAAAUGAGAAUUAUUCUGGGUCUGCCACACGUUUGUAUUGACACAUGUACUUGUCUUUAUCGGGCGACACGUUUCACCACCUAACAAAUGUUAUCGCACAGCGCAGGACGCGCCUGCAUGUAUCGGAAGUUUCUGGAAUGUUAUCGAUGGUUCCAUCCGCUGUCUGCGACCGAACCUUGUAUAAUCUGAUUGCAUGAGUGCGCGACGCGAAUAAUGUACAACUUCGUGGAAUGCACGCGGGUCCCAGCGAUUACUCUCGAGCAUUCGACGACUGAUGUAUAAAAGCCGACGCGCUUGACCCGCUGAUCAGACUUUUCGACGAUCGCCCACUGUGUUCGCCGCUGUCGCCAUUCUUUGAGUGUAGCCUGUUUUUGAGGGCACAAGUUCGCCCCAUAAAACGCUAGUUUCUUCUUUCCCAGUCUGGCUGAUUUCGUCACCGUCACUGCCACGUGACAGUAGCAUUAGGCGAGAGCGUAUCACCGAGCAUGAAAGUCCACAAGGUGAUUUCUGAUUAGGUGUUUAAAUGCGCCAAUGCAGAAUGAUAUCUAAGCUUUUAUUGCGAUACUGCUGAAAAUGACGAGUUUAGAAAGUCACAAGGCUGUUUCAAACCAGAAAGAGAAAGUUAAAACAAAUCCGUGUACUUCCCAUAAUUCCCAUGCUGGCUGAGCCGCCCCUAAUAAAGCUCCCGUAGAUACUAGUGCCAGAGUUCUCUCUAGUAUUUAUUAUAUGAAACUCUUCGACACUCCAUUCUCUACCCGCGACUUCGCUACGCAUGAGCAUGCGUCCUGUCUCUCGGCGCCCUUGUAUGUGAGGCUCACCACCAACCUCCCUCAGCUGCCAACUACCGCCAACCUCGAACCCCAGCGAAAUAGGCGAAGUGUUUGCUUUAUUUCGAAAAAAAAAUUCCCAUAUUUCAGUUGAACAGACAACUGCGCGGCUGUUAUGCGGGUGCUGUACCACUACUCCCCAACCACAUUUUAUUGCCUGCUAACCGAUUUCUAAUUGGAUUACACUUUCAGAGCACUAUUUACCCUCUGACUUGAAAGGCACAGCGAGAGCGGGGAAAAUUCUUUUUUUCUCCCAAGAAAUUGCCAUAGCUAGACCUUCAAGACCAAUCCUCUUACCUGCAACGCACAGCGAUAGCAUGCAACUCUCUGCCAUCUCCCGAGAAAUUGCUCUGCACCCAGUGCUUGCGUGUUUUCAGUAGGCACCAUGGGUCUCCAGAAACGAAAAUCUUGGAAUUAUGACCAUGUGACGCUGGCACAGAAACGCUACGAGAAAAUUAUGGCCUCAAGUUUACAGGUCUCUGCGAUCUUCUAUAGAAUCGCUGCGCAUCGUCACAUAUGCACGCUAGUGGUGCUACCUCUCUCCUUUCCUCUGUCUCUUCCCCUGUUUAUCGCCUUCUUGGAGGAGAGGGCAGCAAACCGGACGUGUAUCUGUUUAACCUACCUUGCCAUACCCUUUCUUACAUAUAUAUAUUUCUCGCUCUUUUACGUGGUUCAUGGUCACACAGUAACUCGCGUCACAUUAGCUUACGCGAGUCGUCAUUGGAGCAAUUUAUUUAACUUGGUAAUGCAGACGUUUAAGUCACUCUGUGCACGCCCGUCUAGCAAAAAAAUUCACUCUGGGAAUCGGUUUAAACGAAGACUUCAUUGAUGUUUUCAUUGGGGUCUCAGUGUUGCUAGCCAUUGUAACCUGGCUUCGGUCUUGGCAAAGACAGUCACGUGGAUGCAUUUAUGCACGAUAAAGGGCAAUAUUAUUGUGUAUACGUACGAUAUAUUGAUGUAGCAGUACCAUAGUGUCGCAGGCAAGGGCUCCUUUCGGAGCUCGUCCGCAGUCGUAUGCUUACGUGUCCAAUGCAUCCCUGGUAGACUCCAAGCAACAAAAGUCUGCAGCUGUUUACUUUCCGAAUACUUUAAUAGCGGCAAACACACGGAACUAACUACGAAAAAAAAUGAGAGCACAAAACAGAAUCCUGUGCUUGGCGUUGUUGUUUCACUUGACUAUUAUCGUGCUGUAUAGAAUAAGAAGCUGGAGAGCGUACACCUAUUUUAAAUAAGGCGCAUGCGCGUAAAAAAACAUAUAUGAAGGGAUGGACGUAGAUGCUUUAUAACAGCCAACUAAUUACUCAUAGAUAAGUUUCAAGAUGCCUUGGGGGUUAGUAAUAGGAGAAUGUAGAACAUUGAACAGAAAUAACAACGAAGAUUCCGCUUCAAAGUGAGGAUAGACAAUUAAAGUACCACCCUGGCAUUUAGUGAAGCCAAAACAAUUUCAGGCUGAACAUUAAAUAAAGUGAGAAAAAAGGGCAUCAC